Molecule: long non-coding RNA, 1055 nt
Filed under: Brassica napus (rape)
Lineage: Eukaryota; Viridiplantae; Streptophyta; Magnoliopsida; Brassicales; Brassicaceae
Description: long non-coding RNA (BNAP_LNC011458)
Source: RNAcentral
UAACAUUUUAAAAUUGUUAGCAAAGGAACAUCCGGUUAAUAGCAAAGGAGAAACAACUAUAAUUGUUAGCAAGGGAGGAACCAUUUAAUGGCAGUGGAAAAGUAACUAUAGCUGGUUGAACCAUGGCAGCAAACCAUGUAUUCAUACUCGUAACAGUAUCUGAAUUAAUAUAGGUCUCUUUUAGCUUAUUGUUUCCAUAGUGCCGCUACCAGAUAACAUAACAUAAAAACUAGAUCAUUUCUCCAAAAAUCCGUUUCAUAUAUAUUUUCCUUUCUUGAAAGGCCUUUUAACCACACACGUUUGGUUCACAUCAUCCGACGAUUUUCUCUUCCGAGUAGCUUCGCCAUCCGCAGUGGAUGCGGUAGCCACCUCCUCUGAUUACUAGUUGAUAUUGAAAAUAUUUGGAAAUACUAUAGUAUUACAAAGUGUUACAUGCUCAACCAACGGUGGUUCUCCAUCCCUUGUUGAUGCACUCUUUUCCUUCGCUUCCUUCACAUUGCAUCUUUUCCUUUGCCUCCUUCACAAAAGGUUCCACCUCUCUAAGUCUUUUAUCCAUGCCAUCAACCUUGUCAAUGACAACCUUAAUCUCCUUGUCGACGGAAUUAUUCAACCCUUCUACAAUCAAAAUUUGAAGAGAAAUAUAAUCUUCCUCCUCGACUUUAUUCAUCACCCCUUUUCGGGCUGGCUCUUUUAGAAAAUCAACGUUAAACCCCUCUUUCGUAGCAGCCACAUCUUGAUUGUACAAAUCUUCAAACCAUAUUGACUUAUGAUUCGUGACGAGACGCUCUGUCCAACCGUCAACAAUAACAUCACUGACUUCAUGGUCGUUUUCUUUUUCGAAGAUUCACUCAAGCAUAAAUUCUUCAAACAAUUCAAUAACAUAACUUGUUAUGCAUCCAAAAAUCAAUUUAGAUUUAAACUAAUGAUAACCUUUGUCAUUAAUUUAAAAACCCAACUGCUCUCUGUGCGUAAUGAUAACUGCAUAGAAUAGAAUAGAUGAAUCAAUGGAGUUCCAAUCACAAAUCUAUCUAUGAUUUUCUCUCCUAAAACUCUCU